AACAACGGUGGCUGUUGCCUAACAGCUGUCUUAUUCAACAGAAAUGGAAACGUGGCGCCCGUAUCCUUGAGAAAACGACUUGGCCCUCCUAUGGAUGGAGGGUGUCUUGAAGAGAAACUGGACACAGUGGAUUGCCAUCCCUGGACAGUGGCCCUUCUCAGCGGAGGCUCUGUCUACCACCCAGAUUCUGCUGUUAGAUUUGCCCCUGGGGAUCCUGGCUGAGAAGCCGCUGUCUGGUGACCAUCGUCAUUAGAGAUACUGAUGUCACAGAACAGCUGUCACCAAAAGCUGCCCCACCCAGGCUGCACCGGUCAUUGUGAGUGGGUUGAUUCUGUUAAACUCGGCAUUCUGGAGGGCAGAUCUCCCCUCCCUGCCUCAGUCAUCCACCUGUAGACCUUCCUUCUGGAUUUUUCUUUUUUUUUUCUUUUGCAUGCCCACCUGUGUUCUCUGCUCUUGGAGGCAGGGUUGGUCUGUAUCUUUUUCCAGCUCUAUUGAGGUAUAAUUGAUAGAUGACAUUCUGUAAGUUUAAGGUGUGCAAAAUAGUGAUUUUAUACACAAAUAUAUUCCAGAGUGAUUACCACAAUAAAGUUAGUGAAGACAUUUAUCACCUCACACAGUUAUAACGUUGUGCGUGUGAUCAGAACUUUAAAAAUCUUAUUAGCAACUCAAUCUCUCGUAGCAACUUUCAAAUAUGCAGCACAGUAUUGUUAACUACAGUUAUCAUAGGAUUGGUCCGUAUUGUUAUUGAGAUGGGGAAAAAAAUCCAUAGACUUGGAUUCAAGAGAUCUACCUCUUGGACCAGCCCCGGGCCCUCUCUGGGUCUCCUGCCCCUUACUUGCACCUAAAAUUCUGUGAUUCUGGGACUCAGGAGAGCAAGGAGGCACGGACAAGAUAGCAUGAGUUUCUUCACUGGGAAAGGUUCAAUCUAAUAAGAAGAAGAAGGUAAAAAAUAACAGUCACCACCAUUUAUUUGAGUUUGCUCUGCUAGGCAUGCACUGUGUGCGUUGUGGAGGCAAUCCUACGAAAUCCUCAUGAUAAUCCGAGGAGGUGAGCCCCACUUUUAUUCUUCUCUCUCAGAUGAGGAAGCUGAGCCUCAGAGAUGUCAAGUAACUUGCCCAAGGUGACAGAGUUAAUAUGUUGGGACUCAGUCACAGAUGUCUCUCUGCCUUUGGGGUCCACCAUUUCCCUCCACUUUGGGGAAGCCCAGAGCUCAGAAGCAGUCGUGGGUUUGCCGCAGCUGUGCUGUUAGGGCCAACUGUCUUUUUCAAAUGUGCUUUCCUUUAUUUACACACCAACAUCAUUGCUAUUUAGGGUUUUCAGUGAACUUCCCUAUUUUCUCCCUAUUCUGUCUUAUUCAGCAAAAUGGAUGAGCGACCGUUUCUUAGGAUACUAAUUGAAUGUUCAUUUAGACAUGAAAGUGUUUGUCUCUCCACUUUUACUUCUCAAGCCAGAAGAAUGUUUCUCUCUUUUCGUGGGAGUCCAGAAACAAGUUAAAGUUUCAUUGAAAGUUUUAUGACCCGAAGGUUGCAAUGAGGUUCAAGUAACAGUAGAGAAAACUUGUGGACAGCCUGGGGAGAAUACGCCCCUCUUGUUAGUUGUUUUGAGCCAAUGUUCCAGAAGACUCUCCCCACCCACUCUGCUCCGAAUGCCUUUCGAAAUUCACAUGCUUUUCUCAUGUUAAGAUCCCCAUGCCCUCACACACCUCCUUUCCAUAUGCCAUUCACUGAGCCUAGAAUGCCAUCCCCUCCGUUGCCUGGAGAGCUCCUCACCCUUAAAGACUCAGGUCAGACGGCUCUUGUGUUACCAAUUCAUGCAAAAUGUUUUUUCUUGUUCACUUCUCUGUUCUGCACUUGAAUGUUAAGUGACGAAGGGCAGAGGCCUGGUCUCACUUACCUUUGGGGCCGCUCAGGAUCCGAGCUUACAUGUUGCGUGCCAUACAUGCUCAAUUAAGAUUUUGUAAUAAACCGAUUUCCCGUGUUAUGGGUCAAAGCCAAAACCUUAAAAAAAAUAAAUUAAAAAAAAAAAAAAGCCAAAACCUUGCUGUGCCCUUCGACCCAGUUAUCCCCAUGAUGGAGGAAUCCAUCCAAAGGAAAUAACCGAAGAGGAGAGAGGAAAUUACACGGACUGAAGUGCUGUGAAAUAUAUAUUUGCAAAAUACUGGCAACAAGCGGAAUGUUUAUCAACAGGACAAUGGUGAGCAAAGCGGGAGACGUGAUCUUGCUGCAACACGAUUCAUUCUAUCACCGACUGAACCAACAUGGUGACUCCCAAGGAUGUGUCAGAAAUACAGAGAUGAGUCAGUUGCCUUCGACCAGCGCACAGCCUGGCAGAGCCUUCUAAAGCAAACAGCACAAAACUACAUAGAAACCGAGAACCGUUUGGGGUCUGAUGUUAAGAGACAAAUAGA
Molecule: long non-coding RNA, 2407 nt
Organism: Neofelis nebulosa (Clouded leopard)
Lineage: Eukaryota; Metazoa; Chordata; Mammalia; Carnivora; Felidae
Exons: 2
Source: RefSeq, a predicted model, not a curated record